UUCCUGAAUUACAUUCAAAUGAGCGUAUAGCUCAUAGUUAUUCAUUCAGAAAAGGAGUUUACGAUUCAGAGAACCUUCAUCCUCCACGCGGCGUGGCUGGUUCAGGGUUGCCCCCAUUGACCAAUAUUCCCUA
RNAcentral lists this ribosomal RNA (133 nucleotides) under uncultured bacterium. RNAcentral's name for it is "partial 16S ribosomal RNA". The record is from RNAcentral.